GGAGUUAGGAAAUGUAGGUGCGAUAAUACCGUGCCUAUUUGACAAAGGCUCCAAGGAAGCCACGGCUAACUCUGUGCCAGCAGCCGCGGUAAUACAGAGGUGGCAAGCGUUGUUCGGAAUUAUUGGGCGUAAAGAGCACGUAGGUGGAUUUGUUAGUCAGAUGUGAAAGCCUGUUGUUCAACGGAAGAAUUGCAUCUGAAACUACAAAC
Molecule: ribosomal RNA, 209 nt
Filed under: uncultured anaerobic ammonium-oxidizing bacterium
Lineage: Bacteria
Description: partial 16S ribosomal RNA
Rfam family: Bacterial small subunit ribosomal RNA
Source: RNAcentral